AAUAAAUUAAAAAUUGUAAUUAAAAAAAAAGAUUUUAUGAAAAUCCACUUGGCUUAAGGAAUGAUACAGGCAGUUGAAACACUAAACAAAGAGUUACAAGUUAAAGAAGAAGCAUCACCAACCAUUCUUAAAAAUAAUAGAAAAAAGAAAAAAGUAACAACUCACUUUCUCCCCAAAAAAUUGUGAUACCUAAAGUAUAAGCAAUAUCAUUACAUGUAAGUUAAAUAUUUUAAAAGAUAAAUAUUAAAAGGAAGUUUCUAUUGUUAAUUUAUUACAG
Molecule: non-coding RNA, 277 nt
Organism: Cinara cedri
Lineage: Eukaryota; Metazoa; Arthropoda; Insecta; Hemiptera; Aphididae
Source: the annotation of a GenBank genome assembly